GAGCCUGUAGAAGCUUCCGAAAUUACAUCACUAUGGGGUUGAGCCAGGCCUCAGUGUUGAGCUGAACUGCUGCGGUUGGGUACAGGACUCUGGAAGCCAAAGAGACAAGAUACAGGGCUGUAGCAUCACAAGGAACUGCAGGCCAUCUUUGGACACUCUGAGGCAUCUCUACCUGUUUGGAGGCUAGUUGGAUGGAUGGAAAUGCAAGAAAACCUCCCUGGAGACCAGAAGUUGCCUGAGUACUCUCACGUGGGUCCUGUGAUAGGCCUGAAGAUGGGCCAGAAGCAGCAGAGAGAAGGAGAGAGGCUGGAUGCUGCUGGAAGCCUGGUCCAUGACAGCAUCCUCCAAAGCACUCUUCAGGCUAAAAUGAGCUUCAUCCAGCCUCAUCUUGCCAGUAACAAAUACAUCCGACAGCCAGUUGACUGUUGUAAUUCCUGGAAGAGGAACUUUGGUGGUCUGUCUUGGCCAAAGGUACCACGGGAAGUGUGAAUAUGUCUGUGCACUUGUGGCAGAGUGAGGCAGGCCCGGGGCUCAGGAGUUCUCUGUGCCAUUUUGGCCGACCUGCACAGCAACACUCCAGUACCUGUCCCGCUGCCCUACCUACCCCUAGGAAAAGCUGUAGAGUCAGUUGCCUAACACCAUCCCAUUUCCAAUCCCUUCUUCAACCUUCUUCCUCAAGUUCCUAUCUCUACCGUCCAUCCCAGGUCCCCAGUAUUUUUCUUGCAGGGGUCACAUGCCACAUUGCUGUGUAUCAUUUAGUCUGCACUUCACAUUUUGUCAAGCAUUUGAUAAAGUUGAUUGUGGUCUCUGUUCUA
This is a long non-coding RNA of Mus musculus (house mouse), 815 nucleotides long. RefSeq annotates it as predicted gene, 30472. The record is from RefSeq and is a predicted model, not a curated record. The transcript has 3 exons. NCBI's taxonomy places the organism in Eukaryota, Metazoa, Chordata, Mammalia, Rodentia, Muridae.